CCUACGGGUGGCAGCAGUAGGGAAUAUUGCUCAAUGGGGGAAACCCUGAAGCAGCAACGCCGCGUGGAGGAUGAAGGUUUUCGGAUUGUAAACUCCUUUUGUUAGAGAAGAUAAUGACGGUAUCUAACGAAUAAGCACCGGCUAAUGCCGUGCCAGCAGCCGCGGUAAUACGCAGGGUGCAAGCGUUAUUCGGAAUUACUGGGCGUAAAGAGCGCGUAGGCGGGAUAGCAAGUCAGAUGUGAAAUCCUAUGGCUUAACCAUAGAACUGCAUUUGAAACUGUUAUUCUAGAGUAUGGGAGAGGUAGGUGGAAUUCUUGGUGUAGGGGUGAAAUCCGUAGAGAUCAAGAGGAAUACUCGUGGCGAAGGCGACCUGCUAGAACAUAACUGACGCUGAGGCGCGAAAGCGUGGGUAGCAAACAGGAUUAGAUACACGUGUAGUC
This 440-nucleotide ribosomal RNA is filed under the name uncultured bacterium. RNAcentral describes it as "partial 16S ribosomal RNA". It matches the Rfam family "Bacterial small subunit ribosomal RNA", at positions 338 to 795 of the family's 1533-position model. The record is from RNAcentral.